UUGAGGGGACUGAGGUGCGGAG
Molecule: microRNA, 22 nt
Filed under: Bos taurus (domestic cattle)
Lineage: Eukaryota; Metazoa; Chordata; Mammalia; Artiodactyla; Bovidae
Description: bta-miR-2422
Source: miRBase by way of RNAcentral